Molecule: ribosomal RNA, 225 nt
Filed under: uncultured Actinomycetales bacterium
Lineage: Bacteria; Bacillati; Actinomycetota; Actinomycetes; Actinomycetales
Description: partial 16S ribosomal RNA
Rfam family: Bacterial small subunit ribosomal RNA
Source: RNAcentral
GGUAGUAACACGUGGGUGAUCUGCCCUGCACUUCGGGAUAAGCCUGGGAAACUGGGUCUAAUACCGGAUAGGAGCCAUUUUUAGUGUGAUGGUUGGAAAGUUUUUUCGGUGUAGGAUGAGCUCGCGGCCUAUCAGCUUGUUGGUGGGGUAAUGGCCUACCAAGGCGGCGACGGGUAGCCGGCCUGAGAGGGUGGACGGCCACAUUGGGACUGAGAUACGGCCCAG